UUCUAAAUAUAUAAAUUUUGAAUAUCAAUACUAAACUUAAUAUUAUAAAAAAUUGAAUUAAACAUAAUUUCAAUCAAACCUCGUUAACCGAAUCAAAGAUGAAAAAUGGGACAGAGGGAGC
Ipomoea nil (Japanese morning glory) is the source of this 121-nucleotide long non-coding RNA. RefSeq lists it as uncharacterized. NCBI's taxonomy places the organism in Eukaryota, Viridiplantae, Streptophyta, Magnoliopsida, Solanales, Convolvulaceae. The transcript has 3 exons. The record is from RefSeq and is a predicted model, not a curated record.